Molecule: long non-coding RNA, 7973 nt
Organism: Calidris pugnax (ruff)
Lineage: Eukaryota; Metazoa; Chordata; Aves; Charadriiformes; Scolopacidae
Exons: 2
Source: RefSeq, a predicted model, not a curated record
GCAAAACUGCAGUCUCGUGAAAUGAAAGCCGGGCGUAAGUUUCCAUAGGGAGGUAACUGGGUGAUUUUUUUUUUUUAAUUGAUGUUCCUGACAAUUCCUUGGUAAGGUGAUGGGCACACCCCAAAACGACAAGGUUUUAAGCACUCACAUGCCGUGGUGGUGUGCAGUUACCUCGCCCAGAGCAGAUGUGCAGGUUUUGCUAAAUAACAGUGAACAUCAGUCCCUGUCCCCGCUUCAGUCUCUAGUAUUAACACAAAAGAUGCUGCUACAGUGAUGCCCAAAGUACGUCCUCCAGGUGACAGGAAACCUCUGCCCGUGCAAGGAUGGGCUCUGGAGAGGAGUCGGGACCAUCCUCUCCACUCCAGGAACUCACACAGCUUUCCGGACGCGAGUGUAUUGCACUUCAGGGAUUGGGAGAGGUUCGUUUCCAGGCUGUUCCCAGCCACGUUCCUUCCUUUGAGUGGAUUUAGUGCAUUUCCUUCUCUCUCGCCCCUUUUAACAGCCAUUUUAGGGAUGAGCAUGGUAGCAGGGCAGAGAGCCUCCCACCCAGCUGCCCCCAGUGCAGAGCACCCUGCCUUGGGCAGCAGAAACCGAUUCCUCCUCCCCAAAAACCUGAAUACAGACUGGGUGCAAGGAAGAGGCACCCCGUGGCAGUUGUGCAUCACACCCUCCCCGCUCCCACAGGUGGGGAGUCUUAAAUCCUCAAAUGGAAAAAAAAAAAAGUCAUGGGGGGGGGGUCCUCUCCCCUUCCAGUGCUGUCUCAAACCAAAUGUGAAUGUUGCCUUCGUUAUCUGGAGUGAUUAAUAAAUCAGGCAUUGCGGUUUCUCUGUUUCGAGACCCUUCCGUGGCCCCUGGCUCUGUAGCAUUCCCCUUCCUUCCUUCACACCGGGUUAAGCUCACCCUCAAGGAAGCCCCCAGCCCCAAAUGUGACUUCCAGAGCUCUCUGUGCCUGUGUGUCUGCCCCGUCUCUCCUGCUCCAGGGCUGGGGGAGGCACCAGCCCCAAGUUCCUGCGGGUCCGUCUCUGCGAAGGGUGGCUGGAAAGGUGCAAUAUUCUGCUGCAGGGUCUCCCCGCAGGGAAUCAGAGCAAGUUGUGUCAGACCCCAUUGGCUCUGUGUGUGUCUCUCCUCCCCUCUCCUUCAGCUUCACGAAGCAGCCCUAAUUUUUGCUGUCCUGCAGCUCCUUCUUCCCUGGAGCCACCCGUGAGGAUGAAGUCCCCACAAGGGGGCAUAGAAAUUGCACCAGUGUCCAAGUUGUGCACCCAGUGAGGAGGAAACAGGAGCCCCCAAAGCCUUACUCUCGCGUUUAGCUUGUUCUUAACUUUUUUUGGGUCCUGUUUGAAAGUGUUCCCUUAGUCUCCAUCCUCGCUCCGGUGCGCAGCAGCCCGAGAGCACACGGGUCGGCGUUGGCACAGGCUGCCCUAAACCCUUGUUAUGGGUUGAGAAACCACCUUGAAUUUGUUGUCAUUUAGACAAUUCUUCUAUCACCCGGUGACCCCUCCCCACCCGGGAAGGGGAGACGGGGAACAAAAAAAAGAAACACAAGGGGUGAAAUAUAAAUAGAUUUAGGGUAAGAAUGUAGGAUAAGACUAAAUAAUUAAUAAUACUAAAGAACCAGUAUCCUGAUACCAAUAUAAAGUCCACAAGGGUUAUACUCAGCCCAUUCUAUCAGCAGAAUCCGUGUGCUCCUGGCAGGGACAGCAAGUGUUGGACACGGUGAGCACUAACAGCUUCGUGGGGAAGGGAAGGGCUUAGGGAUCUGGCACUGGGGCAAGGAGUUCUCUGGACCCACCCCCAUCAAGGGAGAGAGAGCAAGAGAGAAAACUGCACAACAAACUUUCUAAUUUUUGUUGAAUAUGACGUUCAUGGUAUGAAAUCACCCUGUUGGCCAGCUGGGGUCAAGCGCCCGGGUCUUGCUCCUCCUCAUCCCUGCACCUGAAAGGCUCAAAACCACUCAGACCUUGAAUCCCACAGAGCCUGGCUGGCUGUAAAGUAAAUAUUUUCACGAAAUCAAGGCACUAAAGUUUUCUAAAACUGUGUUUUUUUUCCCAAGCAUUAGAAGAUAAAUUAGUCUUGUGUUGCUAAAACCAGGACAACCCUGCUGGUUCCCCGGGAGCUGCCGAUAUUGCACCUUUCUGGCAAAGCAAAACGUUGAGCUGUUUUACAGCGUUUGUCCUCGGCCAGGGACUCUCCUCCCCAGGUUUUACCCAACAUUGCUGAAUGUAAGAGUCUGUGGGAGGUGUUUGACGCGGCGCUGAGCUUGAGAUGAGCUUGGGAUGAGCUUGAGAUGAGCUUGGGAUGAGCUUGAGAUGCAGUAUCCGUUCUGUCAAACCUGCCGGAGGAGGGAAGGCUCAAGGCAAGGCAGCUCACUCUCUCUGGGAUGAGGUUGCUCGCUGGAUCAUCACUUCUGCUUCUUAUGGCAGGUUACGGGGUUGUUUCAGUCUCUGUUUCCCUUUAAAAAAAAAAAAAAAAGGAAAAAAAAAGCCAGUUUUUCCAACCAAAGCCAUGUGAUCCCAAAGCAAAUACCUCCUGCUUCAGCCCGUGCUGCACUGUUCCAAAAUUUGCAGGCAAUUUUUUUGCAUGACUGUUUUUCAUCAUUUGUACCGAUCCAAUAAUGGAAAGUGAAAUAAUUUCCAUAAAAAUAGUCGAUUAUAGAUGUGUUUCAUGUGGAAAAUAUGUACCUGACCCAGAGGGGUUAGGAGCUGCUACUACUAAUUAGCUAGAAGAGCAAAGCGUGACCCUCUCCCCGGAGGGGAAAAAAAAAAAAUAAUAAUCCAGUCUCCCUGUUCUCAGGGUAUUUACAGUUUUACUGUUGAACAAAUGCAAGGGGGUCCCAGCCCUCCUGGUGGGAACCAUCACGAGCAGAGGAGCCUGGUGCCCAGCUCGGGGUUGGCGUUUGCCGGGGCUGGGCUCUCCCACCUGCCAUGGAUGGAGAUGCCCCGGUCUCUGAGUCUGUGUCCUUGAGUUGGGGUUGUCCUACCAGAGCAGGUCUUCUCCCUCCACCUCGCUGCCCACCCCCCAAUGUUUGGGUGGGCUGGGAUGCCAGGUGCCCAGUGCCACAGGGGACACGUGGCACGGCUGUUGGCCAGGGCACCAGCCGGUGGCUUUGGGAAUCGUUGGACUUUGACCUCAGACCUCGGCAAGGCUUUGACUCAUAGAAAGGAUACUGCAUCUUCCUAGGUCAGCUCCUACUGCCACCUUUGUUCCCCUGGUCCUUCUGCCUCCGGGUGCAGGCAGGGGGGCAGACGGUGGCCCGUUGGCCGGGGGAGGCUGGGGGGGGAGCAUCUAGCCAUGGUUUCUACUGUCAAUACAAUUUUGCACAAGAGUUCUUUGAAGUGAGGUUUUUCAACACUAAUAUCUUAAAAUGCACAACUGUGAAUUAUAACUUUUACACUCCUGUUGGUUGAAUUUCCUUUAAAUGAAAUGAACCUGACUCUGUUGUAACUAUGAUUUUUAUUUUAUUUUUUUUUUUUAAUUCUGUGUAUUGCCAAAUCUUUGUAAAGAGUGAAGGAAUGUUCUCGAUUUCCAAUGAGAAUCUCUCUCCAAACGAGACUGGCUCUGGUGACGUGGAGAUCAUACGAAGCACGCUGUAGUUCUGAGUGGAGAGGGGGCUCGGGGUGGGCUCAGCAAACCAACCUUGGCCUCUCUGUAGACCCCAAGCUCAGACCCUCCAGAGUUUACAAAGCGCUGCUCGUUUUAUUUCCCGGCUUGUCCACUCCCUGGAAUCCAGCUGAAGGCCACUGCCCUGGUGGAGCUUGGGAUGGAGUAUCCCCAGAGGGACGAGGGGUGCUGGCAGGGUGUCGGGGCUGGCCGGGAGCAGGGGUCCCCAGGCUGGUGGGGCAGGACGAGGUGCUUCCCCCAUCCAGUUGCACCAGCAGAGUGAGCUCCACAGGGCAGGUUCUUCCACCGCUCUCCACUUUGGUCCGAACCUGUGGUCGUGUGUAGUUCCCUCUCACACUCUUCUUGCCCCCAAAACAUGCUCCUGCUCGGGAGUGAGCAAGGAUGGGAAGAUGCUGAGAACCCAUGUGGGGCAGCUGGAGCUGGCUGCUCAAGGAUUGCAGUUCUUGGGCCCCGUUGGAAGAGGGGUCAGCCACUCAUUUGUGAUGCGCUCGCUGUUCUGUUCCUCCUCUCUUCUCCUGGACUUACUCUCCUUUUACUCAUCGCAGGGUUAUAUAUAUAUUUUUUUUUUUUCUUCUUCUUCUUUUCUUUAAGUGCCUUUUCAUGCGGGUGGAGCUGGCAAGAGUAGGAGUCUCAGGAUAUGGCCCUUUGCACUCACCUCAGACCUGGAGAAAGCUCAGGGAGAACAGGGCGAGUUGCCCAUGAUGGCCCAUGGACAUCACCCGCUGCUGCUUCUCAGCCCUCAGGGCCCAGCUCAGACAAGGGUGAGAUUUUGGCACCGGUGGUGUCGGGCUCUGGCUCGGAUCAGCUCAAAGAAAAACCAAAGAGGUAGUAGCUUUGUCGCGAGCGGCUGCUCGGGCAGCGGUGGUGCUUCCUGUGGGCUCUGCAGAGCUCGGCCCAGGGGUGUUUUUGGGGGGAAGGAGGGAGGUGGAUGGCAAAGAGCAGCUCUCUCUCCUCACGAGCGCCCUGUGUAAGUAUUCUUAGGGAUGGAGCUCUCAGCCACGUCCUCCAGGACCCCUUGGAACAUCCAUCUCCCUUGUGCAGACGUAACAUUGUCCGUCGAAAUCAUUCCCACGUGAAAGAUGUACCCUGUUUCAUACGACACCUAAUACCCACCUCUGUGGUUUUAAAACUAGUGCCUGUAUUCCAGCUGUCCAGUCAUCCCAUGUCUGGAUUGCCAGGAGCAAACUGGGGCUGGUGGGAGGACGGGCAAAGGAUGCUGCAGAGGGUCCCUCUGGUGAUGCCAACUUGAGGCUUCAUCCCAAAGGUGUGGGAGCAGCACUUGAGGGGUCUCUGCCUUCGUACCGGGUGCUGCCACGUGGCACAAAGCAGGAAACCAGCACCUGCUGAAGGGCUUGGUGUGACACAGCCCUGAGCUUGCUGCCCAGCCCCACGCCGGGGCUCUAUGGAGACCCAAAGAAGUACCUGGGGCUGAGGGUUGGUUUGGCCCAACAGUGAAAUGAUGAGCUUACCUACCGCGAUGGAAAGCUGGGCAUCUUCUGGUGGCACAGAGGAAGAGCAGCCUUCAUCCUGACUUGACCAGCAGAGAGGACAAGCUCUACACUGCAAGCUGGGCUGGGAAGCCACCUUCAUCCCUGCACUGGUGUUCCACGUGGUCCAUCCGUUGCAGGUCUCUUGUUGGCAAGAUCUCAGUGGUGAUACCGGCCUCCUGCGUCGGCAGCACAGGGCACUCGGAGACAUCCACAGAGCCCCCCUGGGACAUCCCUCUUGGUGUCUUGCUCUUCUCCUGGCGCCUGGCUUCAUGCUGGGCAGCCUUCCUCCAUGGUUAGUGUCAUGGCUGUGCCCUUGGGGCCAUGUCCAGGCAAGGGGACACUGGCUGUGGGUUCAAGGCGGUACAGUUGAGCUUUCUGGUCUGGUUGUGCGUAUUUGCUGUUCCCUUAGAAGCUGGAAGGCUGAACCUGGGGAGUCCAGAGCGUUCCCUAGAGGAAAGCCUGGGAUGCCAGGUUAUCCCAGCGCCCUUCCCUGAGCUGCAGAGGUGGGAAGAGGGUGCUGGAGAGCUGCCUCCAGCCCGUGGCACGGUACAGGUGGUGGAGAGAGGUGUUCCACACGUCGGCGGCACUAAGUUCAGUCCAAGCGGUAUGUUGUUCUUCUCGUUAUCCUGAGGUUAAGCUCUAUAAGGUUCUGCACCUUGGAAAUAUGGUACUCAAAGCUGCUGGUCUUCUGUCUCCAGCUGAAAAACAUUUUUCUGCUCUCUCCUGAGGUUUCUCCUUUGGGCCCUCUUUUCUUCUGAGCGGGGCCGAUGGCAGAGGACAGUGCCCCAGCUGCUCUUGCCCCUCUGGUGUGGAUUUCUGGCUAACGAAGUGCUUGAUGUUUAAUUGUCCCCCAGCAGGAGAGGUUUGGCCGUUCUUGACAGAAGCUGCCUGUCGGGCUUGAGUUCUGCCAGCUGUCCUGAGCCAAACCUGUGCCUGGGACACGCAAAGGCUGCGGGCGGCUCCGAUGCUCCAGAGGUGGCUUUGAUGUCUUAUUUUCCUUCUCCUCCGGGAAGCAGUUGGUUGACAGCAGGGUUUGUUGGGCAGGAAGGGCUUGUCCCAGUGUUCAGUGCUUCGCAGAGCUUUCCAGCAUCCCGUUUCAGCUGUUUGGAGACCUCAGAGCUUUAUAAAAGGAGGUGGUUUUUUUUUUUUUUGUCGUCCUCUGGGCAUCACUCUUGUACUAAAUCCUCCCGAAUUGAAGUGAGAGAGUUGUAGGUGCCAGACGAGUAGCCUUGGACCGUAGGCCUUUAGUUGGAAGUGCCAAUGUUGAAUGCCUUCUGGAUUUGCCCAAAGAUCAGUGUGGGAGCGUGGAGGGGAGUCCCAGGGAGCUCCUCUUGUCCCAGGAGUGACAGACUGGCCGUGCCUGCCUCGGCGCCAGCGUCGUCCCUGCUUUAGAGUCUCAGGUCCCAGCAGGUUGGGCUGGGCUGGGCUGGUUUGGCCAGAGGGUUUAUUUUUUACCCAGGGUACGUGCUCUGUCCUUCUGCAUCGUGCAAUGGGGGUUUCUGGGGCUGCUGCUCCCCUCCCCACCGGUUGCCUCCGUGCCUGGGGAGGCAGGAGGAGGAGGAGGAGGAGGUGCAGCAGCCAGGACCAGGCGAUGCUGCGGCCGUCCCGUCUCCGGUCCUCAUGCUAAGGGUGGGAGAUGCUGCUCAAGGACUCCCUUCCCUCUAGCUUUUUUUGCAGACCACAGGAAAUGUGGAGAGUGGAAACCCAGCAGGACCCCAGCCCCAGCGCUCCGGUCCCGGUUUGAUCCAUGUUCUCCCAAGCACAAGGGUGGUUUACGAGCGGUUGAGGGUCGGGUCCUGCUGAGGGACCUCAGAGCUCUUGGCGUGUGUUUUCCUCCAAGACGUGUGGCUGCAGAGCCCACCUCGGUACCUGAGUCAUGGGGCUGGUGCCCGGAUGCCAAACAUUGAAUUGGAAAACCCAAAUACUUGAGGAACCUUCCUGGAAGCCACGAGCUCAGCAGGUGCUGAGCAGCUGGAGGUCUCACACCAAACCUUUCUUCUGCAGCUGGGUCCUUCUUGGCUGCCCCGAGCCUCCUCCCGGCCUCGGUCCCCCCCGGCUCAGAAGUGUGGUGGCUCUCCCUCCGCAGGGCAUUUUGGUGGUGACCUGUCCCCACCGAGCCACCCCGGCCAGCUCGUCCCCGUGUCCUCUUUGCCAUCCUACGUGGUCUUUGCGAAUUGUAUCAUAUUGUACAUGACUUGGGGUUUCCAGAGUUGUAGUGUUCUGACUACAGUAUUUCCAUGUGUGUACAGAAACCUGAAUAAGCACAACUGAAAUCCUGAAUGAAGUGUAUACGUUUCAUAUCCUGAUUGUCAUAUGAAUGAAUUUUAUAAUUAUUCCAAUUUUGUUGUAGAUUUCCAAUCUUUCCUAUUUAUUUUGUACCAGAUUUAUUUGUAUAUUUUGUGAUUUUGUUUAAAAGCGUUUUGUUUAUUUCUAUUCUUUUUAGAUAAAUGAUGAUUUUUUUUUUUUUCUGUUGAACAUUCCAGUUUAUGCAUUUUUCCCUCCUCCAUGCUCCCCCCCCCUCGUUUCCAAGGGACGGAUUUUUGGCACGCGGGUGGUGGGGCUGAUGUUGGCGAUCCCAGACCCAGGUCUCUGCUGUUGGCACCUCAGUGGGCUUUAAUCUCCUCCUCAGCUGUCAAGAGCCAUGGAGGGGCCGGAUCCCAUUCCCUUUAGAGCCAGACCUUGCUCUUCACUUUGGUGGGUCUGGGUCCAUAAUUCCUGGAGCCGGGGAGGGCUGUGCCGGUGGUUUUGCUGACCAGGAGCUGGGAAGCUGGUGGCAACAGCAAGCAGCUCACUUUCACUUUCUGAAGCUCCCUCAAAGAUGAGGGCCUUUUUUUUCUUUCACUAAUAAAAACCCCUUAUUUACAA